This is an RNA transcript of Lolium perenne, 3142 nucleotides long. RefSeq lists it as uncharacterized. The record is from RefSeq and is a predicted model, not a curated record. NCBI's taxonomy places the organism in Eukaryota, Viridiplantae, Streptophyta, Magnoliopsida, Poales, Poaceae.
UAUAAUUGAUGCCCCCCAUAGGGGGCCUCACAGCGAUCCUCGACUCUCAGUCGUCGGAUCUUCUCACCUGUGCAUCUCAUCCGUUCAUCUUUUUCACUGCAUCAUAUAAAAAGACACCCCAUGGUGAAACCCUAGACGCCUCUCCACACUCUCCCAAUCCCAGCCGCCACAGCCCUUUCUCUCCUCCAAUCCCACGUUCCUCUCUCUCUAUCGAACAAUCACCCUCACGCGAGCUCGAGCCAGCUCCAUGCCCUCCCCGCGCCGCCGCCCACACGCCAGCUCCGCGACGCCUCCUCACUGCUCGCUCCCGCGUGCCUUCUCCCUGCUCACCCCGCGCGGUCCAGCCCGAGAAACGCCCAGGCCUUUGCCUCCGUCGCGCCGGCUGCCGCCGCCGCCGUGUUCUCCGGUGCGAGGCCGCUAGGAGAGCUCCUCAAUGCCACCAAAGCAGGGGAGGUCGCCCCUGCUAGGAGGAGCUAAACCGUGGCGAGCGCAUCGUCUCGGCGGCGCGAUAGACCUACAGAAAUUAAUUUUCCUUUGUGUGUACAGCCGGUGUGGUGUUUGUCUGCUGGUUUAGAUUGGAAGAUUGGAUAUCACAAGAAAAUAUUUGGUACGAGCUGCUCCAUGGUCUUUGGUAGUUCGGUGAGGAGGCAGACAUGGCAUAGUCCAGCAAUGGUGUGUCACGAUGGUGUAGCGAAUCCUUGCUGCUACAUUCAGGUAUGGAAAGACAUGAAGCAGAACAGCAAAAGAAAAAAGGUAAAUGCUCCCUCUAAUGAUUUUAUUAGAGGAGGCACUCAAGUUUAUUUCUGUGGUUUUCCUUGAUAUUUGUAGGAUAUGUAUUAGAUGGAUGGAGUGUGCAAUCCUGGAAAUUAAUACUUUAAAUCACUGGUUGUAUAACAAGGGUGCAAUGUUUUAUGAGUUAUGCAUUGUUUGACAUGUGGAACCUUCUGUGUUUAUUAUUGUAAAGCUUGCUUCUGUUUCAAGUCUGUUUCAGCCCCAGCUUAAUAGCUGGCUCUGGUUCCUACUUUGCUUUUCCAGAAGUCUUCUGUGUUGUGUGCUAAAAUCACUUUUGUUCUAAUUAAAUUGGUAACAUCAUAUUAGAAUUGAUGGGUUUCAUGCCUUUCUUUGGUUCUGUUUUAUCCUAUUAUCUUACAGCGCAUCCCAGUUGUUAUCUUGUGGGUUCAUGUUUUUUUCACCUUUGUACAGAAGAUUGUUACCCACACUGGAAUGCGGUGCUGUCAUUUCGAAUAAGCUCAGUUCAUGAGGAAACUGAGCUCUGCCUGAUUUUGUCUUGACCAAUGCGCUGUCAUGGCAUAAUUAUUUGCCAUUUCUUCCUAUACCGCUUAAACAAAUAUUACCUUUCUUAUUUGUAUUCCGGCAUCUUAGAAGCAUUUGCAUCGGUCACCUUUAGUGUACAUUAAAUAGUAGGAAUUUUAUCUUCGUAUUUGAAAUGACUUGAGUUCGUUUGGAAAAUUACCCCUACGCAUUGCUCACAAUGAAACGAUGUGCUGUUGUUCCGAUUAUUCGGCUCCAUGCAAACACUGAGUUUUUAGCCUAAAAUCAUGUCUACACAUAUCUUCUAUUGCCUUCCCUUUGAUGGUUUUCUAAGGAGAUUUGUUGGCCAUGCUUAUUGGAUACCAUGUAUUUUUUUAGAUUAUUGUGCCUAUGCCAUGGACCGGUCGUGUAUAGGAUGUCGUCUUUUGGCUCUUUUUUACAAUUACGAUUACCUAGGGCAUUUGUUUUCUUAUUUGUCCCAUCUUUGAAAUGUCCAGGAAAUCUUUUGCUUCCUCCUUCCUUUGUUGUUACUAACUGUGCACUGUGUUUCAGCGGAUAUGCUAUCCGUACCCUUUGCAACACUGAAUCAGCUGUUGCUAUAUUUGUUGGCACCACCGUUCAAGAAUAUGAUGAGGUCUGGCCGGUGGGUCGCCUAUUCAUGGUACAUUAAUGAAGAUAUCAUCGACAUCAAUGUAUUUCAAGCAAGCCCAUUGCACAUGCCCCGUUGCCGCAUCUCCUUCCUCUCUGAACUCAGGUUGGCGAGAACUGGCCUACAAAACAUGUUGCUCUGCUGGCUGCACUCAAUCCUUUUUAAAAGAAGGAAGCUGACUUUCGAUGCACUGUCACAAUAUCAAGAAUUUCCUCCAGGCAGCAAUAGUGGUACACUGGUUGUCAGCGCUAUCAUAGGAAGCUGACUUUCAAAUGCUAAUGAACUAGGUAGCCUGACAUGGUUGUUGUGUUCUUUACCCUUUUUUGCAGGUCGCCGUAUUGUUCAAGGUUGCUGACCGGCGGCUACCGUUGGUUCUCUUCUGGAUUUAGGAUUCUGCUAUGUUGCUGGUCUGUACCACAGGGCGUCGCUAUGUUUGUUUUUCUGUCAGGUUUGGUGUUUGAUAAAUAGAUUCGUUUUCAUCCAAAGCUAGGUCUGUAUGACUUCAAAGGUUCAUGCGGCGUCGUCUCCUACACCGAGUUUCAUUGCCGGUGAAAGGCAACCAGUUAAAACGCGUGGCGAUGCUAAUACUAUCAGGUUCAGCUUCAGCUUCAGCUUCAUGGCUGACCUUAGAUUGGUCAUUGAACGUGAAUAUGCUUCACUCGACAAAUGGCCUUGCCACAGCUAGAUCGCAAGUUCUAGCAGAUCAAAUUUUGGAGUUGUUGCGUACUUACAUGCUUGGACUAGGAUCACCAUCGUGCUGAAGCUGUUAGACAUGGCUGCCAACAAGGUCACUACCUUCAUCAAAGGUAUCCAAAUUAAUCCAUGUAUUGGCUUCUCUGAAAUUUCACGCGCUUUGAUCUCGCUCCAUGACACCACCGAAUUAUAUAUCAUGCUGAUGAGGACAGAGGACCAGUGAGGAGGGAGAUUAGUGGUGUAUCUGAGUGCUUCUUAGGUUGACAAUCAUUAACAAAAAGUCAAGGUUGCUUGCUCCUGACGGAGAUCAAGGCUCUUUGGAGGUUAUUCAAGAGGGUCAGGUUGUCCGUUACAUGUUUGUUCAGAUGUUGAAUGUCUUGUCACAUAUUUAGAAACGUUUGUUUCCCUUGGAGCGUGUUUGUUUAUAAGAUACAAUUGUAUUUCCAGUAUUGCCGUCUUGUUUUCCUGUGAGCUAAUUUUGUAAGAGAAUGAGAUUCAGAGCAAAUUACUUCAAGACGUUUUGUCUCA